This 159-nucleotide ribosomal RNA is filed under the name uncultured Russula. RNAcentral's name for it is "5.8S ribosomal RNA". It matches the Rfam family "5.8S ribosomal RNA". From Rfam's summary of the family: 5.8S ribosomal RNA (5.8S rRNA) is a component of the large subunit of the eukaryotic ribosome. It is transcribed by RNA polymerase I as part of the 45S precursor that also contains 18S and 28S rRNA. Lineage: Eukaryota; Fungi; Basidiomycota; Agaricomycetes; Russulales; Russulaceae. The record is from RNAcentral.
UACAACUUUCAGCAACGGAUCUCUUGGCUCUCGCAUCGAUGAAGAACGCAGCGAAAUGCGAUACGUAAUGUGAAUUGCAGAAUUCAGUGAAUCAUCGAAUCUUUGAACGCACCUUGCGCCCCUUGGCAUUCCGAGGGGCACACCCGUUUGAGUGUCGUG